Molecule: long non-coding RNA, 1065 nt
Organism: Solanum tuberosum (potato)
Lineage: Eukaryota; Viridiplantae; Streptophyta; Magnoliopsida; Solanales; Solanaceae
Exons: 3
Source: RefSeq, a predicted model, not a curated record
CUGUAGACAACAAUAUGUCUGAGUGUUUUAAUGCAUGGAUCUUGGCUGCUAGACACAAGACCAUCGUUACUAUGCUUGAAGAAAUAAGAGUGAAGAUGAUGACAAGAAUAGCCAAAUUAAAGGAGUUCCCAAUUACUUGGAAGUGUAAUUUCUCUCCAAUGGCUCUAAAGGUUUUAGAGGAGAACAUUAGUAGGUCUAUGGACUGUACCAUUGAGUUUAAUGGAGCUGCUGAAUUUGAAAUGAAAGAGGCUUUGUCAACACAAAGUGGAUAUUGUUAGGAGAACUUAUAGUUGUAGGUUGUGGCAGUUAAGGGGCAUACCAUAUGCAUAUGUUGUGGUUGUAUUAUACUUUAAAAAGUUUUCUCUUUAUGACUAUAUAGACAGCUGCUACAGUAAGGAAACUUACUUGAGGAUUUAUGCCAAUGUUAUUGAAUCACUCACAAACAUGGAGAUGUGGCCAGUUUCUACAAACCCCACUAUUGAGCUACCAUAAAUCACAAACAUGUCUGGUAGGCCACCUAAGGCUAGAAGGAAAGAAGUUGGAGAAACUAAGAAAUUUGGGAAGCUUCCUAGGACUGGACUUGCAAUGACAUGCAUUAUAUGCCAUAUCAGAGGCCAUAACAAGAAAUGGUGUCCUCAAAGAGAAGGUGUUGAAUCAUCAACAAGACAAAGUGCAUCAUCACCUACUACAUCAGUAAGGGCAGAACCAACAGGUUCACGCAGGGGAAGAGGUAAACCAAAGAAAACUCCAUUAGCACCAUCAGAAGGUGAGCCUCCACUAAAAAUGGGAAGAGGAAGACAAAAAAAACAUCAUCAGUAGCACCUAGUGCACCUCUCCUACCUACUGCACCUACUGAUUUUCCUGCAUCCUCUUCUGCUCCUCCUACUUAUCAUGCAUCAUCUUCAAUAGUUAGUACUACUAAAAGAGAAAGAGGUAGGGGCAGGGGAAACACAUCUCUAGAGAAAAGACUAAGAGUCAUGGGAAUGGGUGUGUUCCAAGCUGCAAAUGGCUUCAAAGUCAUGAAUCCUGACAUGCCAAGUAGUAAGAUCUACUCUACUGGACAAG